RNAcentral lists this unclassified non-coding RNA (300 nucleotides) under uncultured fungus. RNAcentral's name for it is "sequence contains 5.8S rRNA gene, ITS2". The stretch from base 1 to 71 matches the Rfam family "5.8S ribosomal RNA", at positions 84 to 154 of the family's 154-position model. Lineage: Eukaryota; Fungi. The record is from RNAcentral.
GUGAGUCAUCGAAUCUUUGAACGCAUAUUGCGCUCGAGACUUCGGUCAAGAGCAUGUCUGUCUCAGCGUCGGCUCACCCCUCGCCCCACCCCCUUUCAUUCGAAAGAAGGUGGCGGCGGACGUGGCCGUCUCGUUUCCUUUCUUGGAAACGGGUCGGCUGAAGUGCAGGGCUCGCGGCGCGACUCUUUCAAAAGAGCGCCAGCAUGGUAGGUGGCUCACGCUGCAUACCGCUGUCGUUCGACCGGAGAGCUCCAAUGCCGCUCGGCCAUAAGCAGGAAUUUUUUCGGACGGCCCUCAAAA